This 45-nucleotide non-coding RNA is filed under the name Schistosoma mattheei. The record is from RNAcentral. Lineage: Eukaryota; Metazoa; Platyhelminthes; Trematoda; Strigeidida; Schistosomatidae.
AUCUAGCUGAUGAGUCCCAAAUAGAACGAGACGCGCGUCCUGGAU